GACGGAGGAUGCAAGUGUUAUCCGGAAUCACUAGGCGUAAAGCGUCUGUAGGUGGUCAAAUAAGUCAACUGUUAAAUCUUGAGGCUCAACCUCAAAAUCGCAGUCGAAACUAUUAGACUAGAGUAUAGUAGGGGUAAAGGGAAUUUCCAGUGGAGCGGUGAAAUGCGUAGAGAUUGGAAAGAACACCGAUGGCGAAGGCACUUUACUGGGCUAUUACUAACACUCAGAGACGAAAGCUAGGGUAGCAAAUGGG
Molecule: ribosomal RNA, 253 nt
Filed under: uncultured bacterium
Lineage: Bacteria
Description: partial 16S ribosomal RNA
Rfam family: Bacterial small subunit ribosomal RNA
Source: RNAcentral